GAUGGGCAUGGAGGUGCGUGCCUGUAAUCCCAUCUGUUCUGGAGGCUGAGGCAGGAGAAUUGUGAGUUCAAAGCCAGCCUCAGCAAUUUAGUGAAGCCUAAGCAGUUCAGUGAGAUCUUGUCUCUA
Molecule: small RNA, 126 nt
Filed under: Marmota monax (woodchuck)
Lineage: Eukaryota; Metazoa; Chordata; Mammalia; Rodentia; Sciuridae
Source: RNAcentral